ACGCUGGCGGCGUGCCUAACACAUGCAAGUCGAACGGAGUUAUUCCUUCGGGGAUAACUUAGUGGCGGACGGGUGAGUAACGCGUGAGUAACCUGCCUUUCAGAGGGGGAUAACGUUCUGAAAAGAUCGCUAAUACCGCAUGAGACUACAGAGCUGCAUGGCUCAGUGGUCAAAGGAGCAAUCCGCUGAAAGAUGGACUCGCGUCCGAUUAGAUAGUUGGCGGGGUAACGGCCCACCAAGUCGACGAUCGGUAGCCGGACUGAGAGGUUGAACGGCCACAUUGGGACUGAGAUACGGCCCAGACUCCUACGGGAGGCAGCAGUGGGGAAUAUUGGGCAAUGGGGGAAACCCUGACCCAGCAACGCCGCGUGAAGGAAGAAGGCCUUCGGGUUGUAAACUUCUUUUACCAGGGACGAAGAACGUGACGGUACCUGGAGAAAAAGCAACGGCUAACUACGUG
RNAcentral lists this ribosomal RNA (460 nucleotides) under uncultured bacterium. RNAcentral describes it as "bacterial SSU rRNA". It matches the Rfam family "Bacterial small subunit ribosomal RNA", at positions 33 to 507 of the family's 1533-position model. The record is from RNAcentral.